UCUUGGGCGAGUGGUCGAAGGCGCCAGAUUUAGGCUCUGGUCUUCAUUGGCGUGAGUUCGAAUCUCACAGA
RNAcentral lists this transfer RNA (71 nucleotides) under Fragilariopsis kerguelensis. It matches the Rfam family "tRNA", at positions 5 to 66 of the family's 71-position model. Rfam says of the family: Transfer RNA (tRNA) molecules are approximately 80 nucleotides in length. Their secondary structure includes four short double-helical elements and three loops (D, anti-codon, and T loops). Further hydrogen bonds mediate the characteristic L-shaped molecular structure. tRNAs have two regions of fundamental functional importance: the anti-codon, which is responsible for specific mRNA codon recognition, and the 3' end, to which the tRNAs corresponding amino acid is attached (by aminoacyl-tRNA synthetases). tRNAs cope with the degeneracy of the genetic code in two manners: having more than one tRNA (with a specific anti-codon) for a particular amino acid; and 'wobble' base-pairing, i.e. permitting non-standard base-pairing at the 3rd anti-codon position. The record is from RNAcentral. Lineage: Eukaryota; Bacillariophyta; Bacillariophyceae; Bacillariales; Bacillariaceae.